UACGUAGGGAGCGAGCGUUGUCCGGAUUUACUGGGUGUAAAGGGUGCGUAGGCGGCAUAUCAAGUCAGGCGUGAAAUACAGGGGCUUAACCCCUGAACUGCGUUUGAAACUGGUAUGCUUGAGUGAAGCAGAGGUAGGCGGAAUUCCCGGUGUAGCGGUGAAAUGCGUAGAGAUCGGGAGGAACACCAGUGGCGAAGGCGGCCUACUGGGCUUUAACUGACGCUGAGGCACGAAAGCGUGGGUAGCAAACAGG
RNAcentral lists this ribosomal RNA (253 nucleotides) under uncultured bacterium. Its description in RNAcentral is "partial 16S ribosomal RNA". It matches the Rfam family "Bacterial small subunit ribosomal RNA", at positions 524 to 776 of the family's 1533-position model. The record is from RNAcentral.